Molecule: ribosomal RNA, 253 nt
Filed under: uncultured bacterium
Lineage: Bacteria
Description: partial 16S ribosomal RNA
Rfam family: Bacterial small subunit ribosomal RNA
Source: RNAcentral
UACGUAGGGUGCAAGCGUUGUCCGGAAUUAUUGGGCGUAAAGAGCUCGUAGGCGGUUUGUCGCGUCGAAUGUGAAAACCCGGGGCUCAACUCCGGGCCUGCAUUCGAUACUGCGUGGCUAGAGUGCUGGAGAGGAGACUGGAAUUUACGGUGUAGCAGUGAAAUGCGUAGAUAUCGUAAGGAAGACCAGUGGCGAAGGCGAGUCUCUGGACAGCAACUGACGCUGAGGCACGAAGGCCAGGGGAGCAAACGGG